CGUGUAGGCGGACUAAUAAGUCAGGGGUGAAAUCCAACAGCUUAACUGUUGAACUGCCUUUGAUACUGUUAGUCUUGAAUUAUAUGGAAGUAGAUAGAAUGUGUAGUGUAGCGGUGAAAUGCUUAGAGAUUACACAGAAUACCGAUUGCGAAGGCAGUCUACUACGUAUAUAUUGACGCUAAUGGACGAAAGCGUGGGGAGCGAACAGGAUUAGAUACCCUGGUAGUCC
This 229-nucleotide ribosomal RNA is filed under the name uncultured bacterium. RNAcentral describes it as "partial 16S ribosomal RNA". It matches the Rfam family "Bacterial small subunit ribosomal RNA", at positions 568 to 796 of the family's 1533-position model. The record is from RNAcentral.